AGCAAAUAGAUACCCCGGUAGUCCACGCCCUAAACGAUGUCAACUGGCUUUACGGAGUAUCGACCCUCUGUGAGGCGAAAGCUAAACGCGUUAAGUUGACCGCCUGGGUAGUACGACCGCAAGGUUAAAACUCAAAGGAAUAGACGGGGGCUUGCACAAGCGGUGGAGCGUGUGGCUUAAUUCGUCGCUAAGCGAAGAACCUUACCAGGGCUAGAAAUCCUACUGCACGUCUAGCGAAAGCUAGAAAGCCUUCGAGGGUGUAGGACAGGUGAUGCAUGGCUGUCGUCAGUUCGUGGUUUGAAUCGUUCCCUUCAGUGGGGUAACGAACGCAACCCUCGUUGCCAGUUACAAGUGUCUGGCGAGACUGCCCCCUCACGGGGGAGGAAGGUGAGGAUGACGCCAAGUCAGCAUGUCCCUCUGAUGUCCUGGGCUGCACACGCGCUACAAUCGCCUUUACAAAGGGACGCAAUGCGGUAACGCGGAGCAAAUCCUUAAAAGAGGCGCCAGUUCGGAUUGGGGUCUGCAACCCGA
Molecule: ribosomal RNA, 531 nt
Filed under: uncultured bacterium
Lineage: Bacteria
Description: bacterial SSU rRNA
Rfam family: Bacterial small subunit ribosomal RNA
Source: RNAcentral